GACGAACGCUGGCGGCGUGCUUAACACAUGCAAGUCGAACGGAAAGGCCCUGCUUUUGUGGGGUGCUCGAGUGGCGAACGGGUGAGUAACACGUGAGUAACCUGCCCCUGACUUUGGGAUAACUUCAGGAAACAGGGGCGAAUACCGGAUAGGAGCUCCUGCUGCACGGUGGGGGUUGGAAAGUUUCGGCGGUUGGGGAUGGACUCGCGGCUGAUCAGCUUGUUGGUGGGGGAGUGGCGUACCAAGGCUUUGACGGGCCGCCGGCCUGAGAGGGGGACCGGCCACAUGGGGACUGAGAUACGGCCCAGACUCCUACGGGAGGCAGCAGUGGGGAAUAUUGCACAGUGGGCGGAAGCCUGAUGCAGCGACGCCGCGUGCGGGAUGACGGCCUUCGGGUUGUAAACCGCUUUCGCCUGUGACGAAGCGUGAGUGACGGUAAUGGGUAAAGAAGCACCGGCUAACUACGUG
Molecule: ribosomal RNA, 468 nt
Filed under: uncultured bacterium
Lineage: Bacteria
Description: partial 16S ribosomal RNA
Rfam family: Bacterial small subunit ribosomal RNA
Source: RNAcentral